This 793-nucleotide ribosomal RNA is filed under the name uncultured bacterium. RNAcentral's name for it is "bacterial SSU rRNA". It matches the Rfam family "Bacterial small subunit ribosomal RNA", at positions 8 to 796 of the family's 1533-position model. The record is from RNAcentral.
AGAGUUUGAUCCUGGCUCAGAUUGAACGCUGGCGGCAGGCCUAACACAUGCAAGUCGAGCGGAUGAGUGGAGCUUGCUCCAUGAUUCAGCGGCGGACGGGUGAGUAAUGCCUAGGAAUCUGCCUGGUAGUGGGGGACAACGUUUCGAAAGGAACGCUAAUACCGCAUACGUCCUACGGGAGAAAGUGGGGGAUCUUCGGACCUCACGCUAUCAGAUGAGCCUAGGUCGGAUUAGCUAGUUGGUGAGGUAAAGGCUCACCAAGGCGACGAUCCGUAACUGGUCUGAGAGGAUGAUCAGUCACACUGGAACUGAGACACGGUCCAGACUCCUACGGGAGGCAGCAGUGGGGAAUAUUGGACAAUGGGCGAAAGCCUGAUCCAGCCAUGCCGCGUGUGUGAAGAAGGUCUUCGGAUUGUAAAGCACUUUAAGUUGGGAGGAAGGGCAGUAAGUUAAUACCUUGCUGUUUUGACGUUACCAACAGAAUAAGCACCGGCUAACUUCGUGCCAGCAGCCGCGGUAAUACGAAGGGUGCAAGCGUUAAUCGGAAUUACUGGGCGUAAAGCGCGCGUAGGUGGUUCGUUAAGUUGGAUGUGAAAGCCCCGGGCUCAACCUGGGAACUGCAUCCAAAACUGGCGAGCUAGAGUAUGGCAGAGGGUGGUGGAAUUUCCUGUGUAGCGGUGAAAUGCGUAGAUAUAGGAAGGAACACCAGUGGCGAANGCGACCACCUGGGCUAAUACUGACACUGANGUGCGAAAGCGUGGGGAGCAAACAGGAUUAGAUACCCUGGUAGUCC